RNAcentral lists this ribosomal RNA (252 nucleotides) under uncultured bacterium. RNAcentral describes it as "partial 16S ribosomal RNA". It matches the Rfam family "Bacterial small subunit ribosomal RNA", at positions 524 to 776 of the family's 1533-position model. The record is from RNAcentral.
UACGAAGGGGGCGAGCGUUGUUCGGAAUUACUGGCGUAAAGGGCGCGCAGGCGGCCCCUGAAGUCAGGCGUGAAAGCCCUGGGCUCAACCUGGGAAUUGCGCUUGAUACUCUGGGGCUGGAGUGCGGGAGAGGAGAGUGGAAUUCCCAGUGUAGAGGUGAAAUUCGUAGAUAUUGGGAAGAACACCGGUGGCGAGGGCGGCUCUCUGGACCGUAACUGACGCUGAGGCGCGAAAGCGUGGGGAGCAAACAGG